Molecule: ribosomal RNA, 924 nt
Filed under: uncultured archaeon
Lineage: Archaea
Description: bacterial SSU rRNA
Rfam family: Archaeal small subunit ribosomal RNA
Source: RNAcentral
UCCGGUUGAUCCUGCCAGAGGUUACUGCUAUCGGAGUGUCGAUUAAGCCAUGCGAGUCUAAAGGUUUCUUCGGAAACCUUGGCGGACUGCUCAGUAACACGUGGAUAACCUACCCUUGGGACUGGGAUAACCCCGGGAAACUGGGGAUAAUACCGGAUAGAUCAGGGAUGCUGGAAUGCGCCUUGAUCCAAAGCUCCGGCGCCCAAGGAUGGGUCUGCGGCCUAUCAGGUUGUAGUGGGUGUAACGUACCUACUAGCCGACGACGGGUACGGGUUGUGAGAGCAAGAGCCCGGAGAUGGAUUCUGAGACACGAAUCCAGGCCCUACGGGGUGCAGCAGGCGCGAAACCUUUACAAUGUGCGAAAGCAUGAUAAGGGAACUCCGAGUGCCAGCAUCUAAUGCUGGCUGUCCUUGUGCCUAAAACGCACAAGAUAGCAAGGGCCGGGUAAGACCGGUGCCAGCCGCCGCGGUAACACCGGCGGCCCGAGUGGUAGCCGUUUUUAUUGGGUCUAAAGGGUCCGUAGCCGGCCUGAUAAGUCCUUUGGGAAAUCUGGCAGCUUAACUGUCAGGCUUCUAAGGGAUACUGUCAGGCUUGGGACCGGAAGAGGUAAGGGGUACUCCAGGGGUAGGAGUGAAAUCUUGUAAUCCCUGGGGGACCAUCUGUGGCGAAGGCGCCUUACCAGAACGGGUCCGACGGUGAGGGACGAAAGCUAGGGGAGCAAACCGGAUUAGAUACCCGGGUAGUCCUAGCUGUAAACGAUGCUCGCUAGGUGUCAGACACGGUGCGACCGUGUUUGGUGCCGCAGGGAAGCCGUUAAGCGAGCCACCUGGGAAGUACGGUCGCAAGGCUGAAACCUUAAAGGAAUUGGCGGGGGAGCACUACAACGGGUGGAGCCUGCGGUUUACAUUGGAGUCACACGCCGGG